AGGGGGUUUUGACCCUGGCUCAGGACGAACGCUGGCGGCGUGCCUAAUACAUGCAAGUCGAGCGGAUUGAUCGGAGCUUGCUCCCUGAUAUCAGCGGCGGACGGGUGAGUAACACGUGGGCAACCUGCCUAUAAGACUGGGAUAACUUCGGGAAACCGGAGCUAAUACCGGAUAAUACCUUUCCUCUCAUGAGGAAAGGUUGAAAGAUGGUUUACGCUAUCACUUAUAGAUGGGCCCGCGGCGCAUUAGCUAGUUGGUGAGGUAACGGCUCACCAAGGCAACGAUGCGUAGCCGACCUGAGAGGGUGAUCGGCCACACUGGGACUGAGACACGGCCCAGACUCCUACGGGAGGCAGCAGUAGGGAAUCUUCCGCAAUGGACGAAAGUCUGACGGAGCAACGCCGCGUGAGUGAUGAAGGUUUUCGGAUCGNAAAACUCUGUUGUUAGGGAAGAACAAGUACGAGAGUAACUGCUCGGACCUUGGCGGGACCUAACCAGAAAGGCCACGGCUAACUUCGUGCCAGCA
RNAcentral lists this ribosomal RNA (526 nucleotides) under uncultured Bacillota bacterium. RNAcentral's name for it is "bacterial SSU rRNA". It matches the Rfam family "Bacterial small subunit ribosomal RNA", at positions 1 to 513 of the family's 1533-position model. Lineage: Bacteria; Bacillati; Bacillota. The record is from RNAcentral.